RNAcentral lists this ribosomal RNA (324 nucleotides) under uncultured eukaryote. RNAcentral's name for it is "partial 18S ribosomal RNA". It matches the Rfam family "Eukaryotic small subunit ribosomal RNA", at positions 1470 to 1796 of the family's 1831-position model. The record is from RNAcentral.
CCCUUAGAUGUUCUGGGCCGCACGCGCGCUACACUGAUGCAUUCAACGAGUUUCUUCCUGGUCCGAGAGGAAUGGGUAACCUUUUGAAAGUGCAUCGUGAUAGGGAUAGACUAUUGCAAUUAUUGGUCUUCAACGAGGAAUUCCGAGUAGACGUAGUUCAUCAGACUGCAUCGAUUACGUCCCUGCCCUUUGUACACACCGCCCGUCGCUCCUACCGAUUGAAUGCUCAGGUGAGCCAUUCGGACUUUCAUCAUGCUGGUUUCCAGUUUUGAUGAAGGAAAGUCUUGCGAACCUUAUCAUUUAGAGGAAGGAGAAGUCGUAACA